UGGCCAUAUCACGUUGAAAUUCCUCUUCCCGUACGAUCAAUGAAGUUAAGCAACGUUGAGCCUGCUCAGUACCUAGAUGGGUAUCCGCUCGGAAAUACCAGUUGC
Molecule: non-coding RNA, 105 nt
Organism: Acanthosepion pharaonis
Lineage: Eukaryota; Metazoa; Mollusca; Cephalopoda; Sepiida; Sepiidae
Source: the annotation of a GenBank genome assembly